This 560-nucleotide ribosomal RNA is filed under the name uncultured bacterium. RNAcentral's name for it is "partial 16S ribosomal RNA". It matches the Rfam family "Bacterial small subunit ribosomal RNA", at positions 355 to 928 of the family's 1533-position model. The record is from RNAcentral.
UGGGGAAUAUUGCACAAUGGGCGAAAGCCUGAUGCAGCAACGCCGCGUGAGUGAUGAAGGCCUUCGGGUUGUAAAGCUCUGUCUUUUGGGACGAUAAUGACGGUACCAAAGGAGGAAGCCACGGCUAACUACGUGCCAGCAGCCGCGGUAAUACGUAGGUGGCAAGCGUUGUCCGGAUUUACUGGGCGUAAAGGAUGCGUAGGCGGAUUUUUAAGUGAGAUGUGAAAACCCUAAGCUUAACUUGGGGACUGCAUUUCAUACUGGAAAUCUAGAGUGCGGGAGAGGAGAAUGGAAUUCCUAGUGUAGCGGUGAAAUGCGUAGAGAUUAGGAAGAACACCAGUGGCGAAGGCGAUUCUCUGGACCGUAACUGACGCUGAGGCAUGAAAGCGUGGGUAGCAAAACAGGAUUAGAUACCCUGGUAGUCCACGCCGUAAACGAUGAGUACUAGGUGUAGGAGGUAUCGACCCCUUCUGUGCCGCAGUUAACACAAUAAGUACUCCGCCUGGGAAGUACGAUCGCAAGAUUAAAAACUUAAAAUGAAUUGACGGGGGUCAUAGCUG